RNAcentral lists this transfer RNA (72 nucleotides) under Camelus bactrianus (Bactrian camel). It matches the Rfam family "tRNA". Rfam says of the family: Transfer RNA (tRNA) molecules are approximately 80 nucleotides in length. Their secondary structure includes four short double-helical elements and three loops (D, anti-codon, and T loops). Lineage: Eukaryota; Metazoa; Chordata; Mammalia; Artiodactyla; Camelidae. The record is from Rfam by way of RNAcentral. RNAcentral also lists the same sequence under 1 other name.
GGGGCUAUAGCUCAGUAGUAGAGUGCGUGCUUGCUGUGCAUGAGGUCCUGGGUUCAAUCCCCAGUGCCUCCU